This 469-nucleotide ribosomal RNA is filed under the name uncultured bacterium. Its description in RNAcentral is "bacterial SSU rRNA". It matches the Rfam family "Bacterial small subunit ribosomal RNA", at positions 329 to 793 of the family's 1533-position model. The record is from RNAcentral.
UACCAGACUCCUACGGGAGGCAGCAGUGAGGAAUAUUGGUCAAUGGGCGGGAGCCUGAACCAGCCAAGUCGCGUGAGGGAAGACGGUCCUAUGGAUUGUAAACCUCUUUUGUCGGGGAGCAAAGAGGCCACGUGUGGUCAAAAGCGAGAGUACCCGAAGAAAAAGCAUCGGCUAACUCCGUGCCAGCAGCCGCGGUAAUACGGAGGAUGCGAGCGUUAUCCGGAAUUAUUGGGUGUAAAGGGUGCGUAGACGGGAAAGCAAGUUAGUUGUGAAAUCCCUCGGCUUAACUGAGGAACUGCAACUAAAACUACUUUUCUUGAGUGCAGGAGAGGUAAGUGGAAUUCCUAGUGUAGCGGUGAAAUGCGUAGAUAUUAGGAGGAACACCAGUGGCGAAGGCGACUUACUGGACUGUAACUGACGUUGAGGCACGAAAGUGUGGGGAGCAAACAGGAUUAGAUACCCCUGUAUG